GUGCUCUCUUUGGCAGCACAUACAAUAAAAAUUGGAAUGAUACAGAGAAGAUUAGCGUGGCUCCUGCACAAGGAUAACAUGCAAAGUGGUGAAACAUUCCAUAUUGUA
This is a small nuclear RNA of Oryctolagus cuniculus (rabbit), 108 nucleotides long. NCBI's taxonomy places the organism in Eukaryota, Metazoa, Chordata, Mammalia, Lagomorpha, Leporidae. The record is from Ensembl.